Molecule: long non-coding RNA, 715 nt
Filed under: Panax ginseng (ginseng)
Lineage: Eukaryota; Viridiplantae; Streptophyta; Magnoliopsida; Apiales; Araliaceae
Description: long non-coding RNA (PGIN_LNC000804)
Source: RNAcentral
UUGAGGUAGUAGAGCUUUUCCCUAAGUUUUUGAAGUAGAUAUUCUUCUAUUUCCUCUGCCAUUUUUCCUCAUCUUAAGUGAAACAACCGGGUCAAAUCCGAGUCCGGAAUAAAUCUCAGGUCAAAUCCCAAGUCCGAAUCGAAUCAAAUCCAUCAAAAUAAGGACUCAAACUACUGGCCCAACAGUAUCUUCUUGGGUCAUCUUAGCCCACCACAGGCUUCCAAAAGGUCAUGACUUGAAGGUACUAUUGGUAGUAACUUAUUUUCUUAUAUGUAGACAAAUUUUUCCCCUAUCUUUCGAUGUGGGACUGGAGUGUUACAAACUCCCCCACUUAAAUUUCUGACGUCCCCGUUAGAACCGAUCACACACACGGCCCAAAGAUCUUUGCCUCUCUAGCCAUUGUGGGAUAAUACCGGCUGGCUUCGUGUCCCCACCUCCGGACCUUCAUCUCUCCAUUGUGGGAUAAUACCACCAGCCUUCGUGUCCCCACCUCCGGCAACCCGAUCGGAUGACCCGACCCGAGCUUUCGAGAGUCGGCUUUGAUACCAUAUGAAACAACCCGGGUCAAAUCCCGAGUCCGGAAUAAAUCUCGGGUCAAAUCCCAAGUCCGAAUCGAAUCAAAUCCAUCAAAAUAAGGCCUCAAACUACUGGCCCAAUAGUAUCUUCUUGGGUCAUCUUAGCCCACCACAGGCUCCCAAAAGGUCAUGACUUGAAG